AGAAAAAAAUGACGGUACCCGAAGGAAGGAAGCCCCGGCUAACUACGUGCCAGCAGCCGCGGUAAUACGUAGGGGGCAAGCGUUAUCCGGAAUUAUUGGGCGUAAAGAGUGCGUAGGUGGUCUACUAAGCGCGAGGUGAAAGGCUAUGGCUCAACCAUUGUUAGCCUUGUGAACUGGCAGACUUGAGUGCAAGAGAGGAAAGCGGAAUUCCUAGUGUAGCGGUGAAAUGCGCAGAUAUUAGGAGGAACACCGGCGGCGAAGGCGGCUUUCUGGAUUGUAACUGACACUGAGGCACGAAAGCGUGGGUAGCAAACAGGAUUAGAUACCCUGGUAGUCCACGCCGUAAACGAUGAGCACUAGGUGUCGGGACAUGAGUCUCGGUGCCGCAGUUAACGCAAUAAGUGCUCCGCCUGGGGAGUACGCACGCAAGUGUAAACUCAAAGGAAUUGACGGGGACCCGCACAGCAGCGGAGCAUGUGGUUUAUUCGAAGC
RNAcentral lists this ribosomal RNA (492 nucleotides) under [Eubacterium] saphenum. Its description in RNAcentral is "bacterial SSU rRNA". It matches the Rfam family "Bacterial small subunit ribosomal RNA", at positions 461 to 957 of the family's 1533-position model. Lineage: Bacteria; Bacillati; Bacillota; Clostridia; Peptostreptococcales; Anaerovoracaceae. The record is from RNAcentral.